Molecule: unclassified non-coding RNA, 354 nt
Filed under: soil metagenome
Description: partial contains 5.8S ribosomal RNA, internal transcribed spacer 2, and large subunit ribosomal RNA
Rfam family: 5.8S ribosomal RNA (bases 1-120)
Source: RNAcentral
GAUGAAGAACGCAGUGAAACGCGAUAUGUAAUGUGAAUUGCAGAAUUCAGUGAAUCAUCGGAUCUUUGAACGCACAUGGCGCCUUCCAGUAUCCUGGGAGGCAUGCCUGUCCGAGCGUCGUUUCAACCCUCGAGCCCCCGUGGCCCGGCGUUGGGGAUCUGCCCAGGCAGUCCCCGAAAACCAGUGGCGGACCCGUUACAGGCCCUUCCCUUGCGUAGUAGCAUUCGCCUCGCAUCGGGAGCCAGCGGGCUUCCAGCCUCUAAACCCCCAUCAAGUCCGCCCCGGCGGCACCAAGGUUGACCUCGGAUCAGGUAGGAAUACCCGCUGAACUUAAGCAUAUCAAUAAGCGGAGGA